RNAcentral lists this ribosomal RNA (460 nucleotides) under uncultured bacterium. RNAcentral describes it as "partial 16S ribosomal RNA". It matches the Rfam family "Bacterial small subunit ribosomal RNA", at positions 338 to 795 of the family's 1533-position model. The record is from RNAcentral.
CCUACGGGUGGCAGCAGUGAGGAAUAUUGGUCAAUGGACGAGAGUCUGAACCAGCCAAGUAGCGUGAAGGAUGACUGCCCUAUGGGUUGUAAACUUCUUUUAUAUGGGAAUAAAAUGUUCCACGUGUGGGAUUUUGUAUGUACCAUAUGAAUAAGGAUCGGCUAACUCCGUGCCAGCAGCCGCGGUAAUACGGAGGAUCCGAGCGUUAUCCGGAAUUAUUGGGUUUAAAGGGAGCGUAGGUGGAUUGUUAAGUCAGUUGUGAAAGUUUGCGGCUCAACCGUAAAAUUGCAGUUGAAACUGGCAGUCUUGAGUACAGUAGAGGUGGGCGGAAUUCGUGGUGUAGCGGUGAAAUGCUUAGAUAUCACGAAGAACUCCGAUUGCGAAGGCAGUUCACUGGACUGCAACUGACACUGAGGCUCGAAAGUGUGGGUAUCAAACAGGAUUAGAUACCCGAGUAGUC